Molecule: ribosomal RNA, 484 nt
Filed under: uncultured bacterium
Lineage: Bacteria
Description: partial 16S ribosomal RNA
Rfam family: Bacterial small subunit ribosomal RNA
Source: RNAcentral
AUUGAACGCUGGCGGCAGGCCUAACACAUGCAAGUCGAGCGCAUGAAGGGAGAUUGUGCCUGGAUUCAGCUGCGGACGGGCGAGUAAUGCCUAGGUAGCUGCCUGGUAGUGGGGGAUAACGUCCGGAAACGGGCGCUAAUCUCGCAUACGUCCUGAGGGUGAAAGUGAGGGUUCUUCGGUCCUCACGCUAUCAGAUGAGCCUAGGUCGGAUUAGCGAGUUGGUGGGGUAAAGUCCUACCAAGGCGACGAUCCAUAACCGGUCUGAGAGGAUGAUUAGGCACACUGGAACUUAGGCACGGUCCCGAAUCCUACGGGAGGCAGCCGUGGGGAAUCUUCCGCAAUGGGGCAAAGCCUGACGCAGCCACGCCGCGUGAGUUAAGAAUGGCUUCGGAUCGGAAAACCCUGUUAUUUGGGAAGAAGGUACGUUUAGUUAAGUCCUUACUUUUUGAAGGUUCCCAACCAGAUAAACACCGCUUACUUCCGG